GACGAACGCUGGCGGCGUGCUUAACACAUGCAAGUCGUACGGUAAGGCCCUUUCGGGGGUACACGAGUGGCGAACGGGUGAGUAACACGUGAGUAACCUGCCCACAACUUUGGGAUAACGCUAGGAAACUGGUGCUAAUACUGGAUAUGUGCUCCUGCUGCAUGGUGGGGGUUGGAAAGCUCCGGCGGUUGUGGAUGGACUCGCGGCCUAUCAGCUUGUUGGUGGGGUAGUGGCCUACCAAGGCGGCGACGGGUAGCCGGCCUGAGAAGGUGACCGGCCACAUUGGGACUGAGAUACGGCCCAGACUCCUACGGGAGGCAGCAGUGGGGAAUAUUGAACAAUGGGCGCAAGCCUGAUGCAGCAACGCCGCGUGCGGGAUGACGGCCUUCGGGUUGUAAACCGCUUUCAGCAGGGACGAAGCUUUUUGUGACGGUACCUGCAGAAGAAGCACCGGCUAACUACGUG
RNAcentral lists this ribosomal RNA (465 nucleotides) under uncultured bacterium. RNAcentral's name for it is "partial 16S ribosomal RNA". It matches the Rfam family "Bacterial small subunit ribosomal RNA", at positions 28 to 507 of the family's 1533-position model. The record is from RNAcentral.